Molecule: long non-coding RNA, 207 nt
Filed under: Lathyrus oleraceus (garden pea)
Lineage: Eukaryota; Viridiplantae; Streptophyta; Magnoliopsida; Fabales; Fabaceae
Description: Pisum sativum (pea) long non-coding RNA (PSAT_LNC018865)
Source: RNAcentral
GAUGAUGAAAUUUCUAGAUUUCAAUUUGGCAAAUAAGUUAUUACGUGGGGAGCAAUUUGACUGGAAUUCAAUUCAAAUGGGGCUAUUGUUAUUUACUUAUUUUCGUCUAUUUAUUACAUGGGACUGGAAUACCCCUACGCAUUCAAAUUCUGAUAUCAUGUGCCGUGGUAUAAAUCCAAAUUUUAUAAUAUUUUUACUACAUUUAAG